This 117-nucleotide non-coding RNA is filed under the name Homo sapiens (human). The record is from Rfam by way of RNAcentral. Lineage: Eukaryota; Metazoa; Chordata; Mammalia; Primates; Hominidae.
GCUGGGCGUGGUGGCUCACGCCUGUAAUCCCAGCACUUUGGGAGGCAGAGGCAGGUGGAUCACCUGAGGUCAGGAGUUCGAGACCAGCCUGGCCAACAUGGUGAAACCCCGUCUCUA